CUCAAUGUCAGGAGGACAGGGAAGGAAGAGGGUGAGGUCUACAGACCGAAAGAAUGAAAAUAUGUAGCUCUACACUCUCUACUAUACUGUAUACAGUACUAAGGAGAAGCUGCAGAGAGCAGGGUAGUGUAGCUUAAAGCAGCUUGUACCAACACCAAGAGUGCAGUGUAACCUACAUGAUGAAACUCCUAUCCCUCAGAGGAAAUCUGGGGGUUUACUUCUCUAAGUAAAUGCGAAACAACUAAAAACUCUCCAUGAGCUGUGUGUCUACUUCAGUGUCUUUCUAAGUAUGAAAGACUGCCUGAGAUAGAGUCAAAUAAUUCUUAAAAAUCUUGAUAAUCGAUUAUACAAACCUAUACACGGACGGAUGAAGGAGGAGCGGAUACAUGUUAUCUCCAGAAUAUCAAGGAUAUCUAGAUAUAUCUUAAACUUAUCCUACGUUUUAACCCAGCGGAAGGGGAUUUUUAAGUUUAAGAAAGACAAAUCCAUGAUAAAAAAAACCAAAAUUUUAAUAUUAAAUUGAUGGAGCCACGUUAUCAUCAUUCCUUUAGAUCUAUUAUUUUCGAAGCUUAAUGAUAUUGUUAUUGUAGCUCAGGAAAUAUUGAAGCUUAGAAAAUAUUGAAGCUUGGAAAAUACUUAAGCUUAGAAAAUAUUGGAGCAUAUAAAGUAUUGAAGCUUAGAAAAUAUUGGAGCCCAAAAGAUAUUGGAGCCUAAUGGAUAUUUGAGCUAAGAGUAUAUUGGAAAUCAAAAGAAAUUGAUGAAAAAGAAGAAACCGUACAGAAAGUGGAGGAAAAGAAAUUGAUGAAAAAGGAGAAACCGUAUAGAAAGUUGAGGAAAAGAAAUUGAUGAAAAAGAAGAAACCGUACAGAAAGUGGAGGAAAAGAAAUUGAUGAAAAAGGAGAAACCGUAUAGAAAGUGAAUGAUAAGAAAUUGAUGAAAAAGGAGAAACCGUAUAGAAAGUAUAGAAAGAAAAGAGAAAUCAAGUUUUAACAACAAAACAAGAUAUAUGAACACGAACUCCGAAACCCGUGAGAAAUAAUGUAAAAGAAGGAGAAACUAAGAGAAGAAAAGCUGUAGAGUAGAAAAAUAAGAGGACUGUUGAGGAAUUUAGCUGGGUCCAACCAACUUCAUAAUUUCCAAAAUGCCCAGGAUCGGAGAGAUGGUAACCUUCUUGGUUGGUCCCCCGGGGUACUCGGAGAGAAUGGACGCAAAUAUUUCUAAACUUUGUAAAGUUUCACCAGUCUUUAAUGCAAUGCUUCGGGUUAGUUACAGAACUUGUUAU
Molecule: long non-coding RNA, 1282 nt
Organism: Eurytemora carolleeae
Lineage: Eukaryota; Metazoa; Arthropoda; Copepoda; Calanoida; Temoridae
Exons: 3
Source: RefSeq, a predicted model, not a curated record